Molecule: long non-coding RNA, 337 nt
Filed under: Homo sapiens (human)
Lineage: Eukaryota; Metazoa; Chordata; Mammalia; Primates; Hominidae
Description: HSALNT0372684
Source: RNAcentral
CAUUUCCCCUGCUUACACUCACUCUGUUCUGCCACCCUGUGAGGAAGGUGCCUGCUUCUCCUUUGCCUUCCUCCAUGAUUGCAAGUUUCCUGAGUCCUCCCCAGCCAUGUGGAAUUAUGAAUUGCUAAACGAAUUGUGAUACAGCCACACAAUGGACUACUGCUCAGCAAUAAAAAGGAAUGAACUAUUGAUAUGCCCAACAACGUAGAUGAACCUCAAAACCGUUAUGGAUGGCAUCUUGCUCUGUUACCUAGGCUGGAGCACGGUGGCACAAUCUCGGUUCAUUGCAACCUCCACUUCCCGGGUUCAAGUGAUUCUCCUGCCUCAGCCUCCCGAG